UGCAGCAACGCCGCGUGAGGGAUGACGGCCUAUCGGGUUGUAAACCUCUUUUAGCAAGGAAGAAGCGAAAGUGACGGUACUUGCAGAAAAAGCGCCGGCUAACUACGUGCCAGCAGCCGCGGUAAUACGUAGGGCGCAAGCGUUAUCCGGAAUUAUUGGGCGUAAAGAGCUCGUAGGCGGUUUGUCGCGUCUGCUGUGAAAACUGGAGGCUCAACCUCCAGCCUGCAGUGGGUACGGGCAGACUAGAGUGCGGUAGGGGAGAUUGGAAUUCCUGGUGUAGCGGUGGAAUGCGCAGAUAUCAGGAGGAACACCGAUGGCGAAGGCAGAUCUCUGGGCCGUAACUGACGCUGAGGAGCGAAAGGGUGGGGAGCAAACAGGCUUAGAUACCCUGGUAGUCCACCCCGUAAACGUUGGGAACUAGUUGUGGGGACCAUUCCACGGUUUCCGUGACGCAGCUAACGCAUUAAGUUCCCCGCCUGGGGAGUACGGCCGCAAGGCUAAAACUCAAAGGAAUUGACGGGGACCCGCACAAGCGGCGGAGCAUGCGGAUUAAUUCGAUGCAACGCGAAGAACCUUACCAAGGCUUGACAUAUACGAGAACGCUGCAGAAAUGUAGAACUCUUUGGAC
Molecule: ribosomal RNA, 628 nt
Filed under: Microbacterium sp. Ri3Pw_6356
Lineage: Bacteria; Bacillati; Actinomycetota; Actinomycetes; Micrococcales; Microbacteriaceae
Description: bacterial SSU rRNA
Rfam family: Bacterial small subunit ribosomal RNA
Source: RNAcentral